This 972-nucleotide long non-coding RNA is filed under the name Eucalyptus grandis. Its description in RNAcentral is "long non-coding RNA (EGRA_LNC004385)". Lineage: Eukaryota; Viridiplantae; Streptophyta; Magnoliopsida; Myrtales; Myrtaceae. The record is from RNAcentral.
CACCGCUUCCUUGAAGGUCAUGAUCCGAACUGCAUCCUGUAGUAGGCUCAUUUCAUAUCAUGAUAAGCACAGAUUAAAACUAAACGAUUCAAACAGAUGAUGAUGCUACACGAAUUAAAAGCUAAAUUCCAUCCCAUAAAGCGAUGCCUCGUACUAAAAGGACCUGUAAGAUAAACAAACAGUACAUAAACACAAUUCAAAUUCAAGCAACACGACAAAUUACCGCGAUUAAACUGAUAGCCCGACAAACUUUUGACCCCAGAAUCCAAUUAUUCAUGGCUAUGAUUCACUGGGAAGCUUCUCAUCCCCAAUCAGUCACUCAAUCUAAGAAAUAUCUAACAUAUUCCAUUUUUUUUUAACUGCUGUCUCACACAAAGGAAAUUCCAGACGACCGCGAAAUGACUUGACAUCAAAUUCAACAACCAAGAAAAAGAACCACGCUCAGUUGAUCACAGCGCGAGAAAAGCAGACAUGGGUUUGGCUAAAUUACAUCUAGACAUGGACAAAACAAAACCAGAGUACGUUCUUGAACGAACCCAUCAGCAGAAAACUCAAGCUCCGAUCAUGCAGAAACGAAAAAGAGCCGCACAAAACGACUCCAAGAAGCAGUCGCUCUGCGUUCGUUCUUACUCUUUCACUACUACUCCACCACCGAGAGUCAAGCCUAAGGACGUCAACGCUUCACGGACGGCGCGCCAUUUUCAGGCGAUCGGAAGAGGACACGAGCGUUGGUGAAGAGGCCGGGUGCUGAGCAGCCGUCGGAGCUCGAGCGAGACCGUCACUUCGAAAGCGAAGGAGGAGAGAGACAAAACUCCAUGAAAACGCAGUGAAGAUGGCAUUUUUAAACGAAAAGAAAAAAUGGUAUCAUUGGAUGCUGUCGGUCCACCGACAACAACCUCCUUGGACGCUAAUAAUAAUACUAGAGAGAGAAAAAUAUAAAUAAUAUUAUCAAAAAAGAACAGAGAUUUUCAC